Molecule: ribosomal RNA, 330 nt
Filed under: uncultured Bacillota bacterium
Lineage: Bacteria; Bacillati; Bacillota
Description: bacterial SSU rRNA
Rfam family: Bacterial small subunit ribosomal RNA
Source: RNAcentral
GACGAACGCUGGCGGCGUGCCUAACACAUGCAAGUCGAACGGAUCAAUCGGAUAGCUUGCUAGAAGAUUGAUUAGUGGCGGACGGGUGAGUAACACGUGGAUAAUCUGCCUGUAACUCUGGGAUAACACAGUGAAAACGGUGCUAAUACCGGAUACCUUCAACUUAUCGCAUGAUGAGAUGAAGAAAGCUUUAGUGGUUACAGAUGAAUCCGCGGCUGAUUAGCUAGUUGGUAAGGUAAUGGCUUACCAAGGCGAUGAUCAGUAGCCGGCCUGAGAGGGUGAACGGCCACACUGGGACUGAGACACGGCCCAGACUCCUACGGGUGGCUG